This 114-nucleotide non-coding RNA is filed under the name Clostridium mediterraneense. RNAcentral describes it as "FMN riboswitch (RFN element)". It matches the Rfam family "FMN riboswitch aptamer (RFN element)". From Rfam's summary of the family: The RFN element is a highly conserved domain that is found frequently in the 5'-untranslated regions of prokaryotic mRNAs that encode for flavin mononucleotide (FMN) biosynthesis and transport proteins. The record is from RNAcentral. Lineage: Bacteria; Bacillati; Bacillota; Clostridia; Eubacteriales; Clostridiaceae.
UAUCUUCAGGGCGGGGCGUAAUUCCCCACCGGUGGUAAAGCCCACGAGCUACAGUGUUAGCAUGAUUUGGUGAAAUUCCAAAGCCGACAGUUAAAGUCUGGAUGAAAGAAGGUA